GCCUGGGUGGCUCAGUUGGUUAAGCGUCUGACUUCGGCUUAGGUCAUGAUCUCACGGUUCGUGGGUUCGAGUCCCACGUCGGGCU
This 85-nucleotide transfer RNA is filed under the name Felis catus (domestic cat). It matches the Rfam family "tRNA". From Rfam's summary of the family: Transfer RNA (tRNA) molecules are approximately 80 nucleotides in length. Their secondary structure includes four short double-helical elements and three loops (D, anti-codon, and T loops). The record is from Rfam by way of RNAcentral. Lineage: Eukaryota; Metazoa; Chordata; Mammalia; Carnivora; Felidae.